AGCGAACGCUGGCGGCAGGCUUAACACAUGCAAGUCGAGCGGGCACUUCGGUGUCAGCGGCAGACGGGUGAGUAACACGUGGGAACGUACCCUUUGGUUCGGAAUAACGCUGGGAAACUAGCGCUAAUACCGGAUACGCCCUUUUGGGGAAAGGCUUGCUGCCGAAGGAUCGGCCCGCGUCUGAUUAGCUAGUUGGUGGGGUAAUGGCCUACCAAGGCGACGAUCAGUAGCUGGUCUGAGAGGAUGAUCAGCCACACUGGGACUGAGACACGGCCCAGACUCCUACGGGAGGCAGCAGUGGGGAAUAUUGGACAAUGGGCGCAUGCCUGAUCCAGCCAUGCCGCGUGAGUGAUGAAGGCCUUAGGGUUGUAAAGCUCUUUUGUCCGGGACGAUAAUGACGGUACCGGAAGAAUAAGCCCCGGCUAACUUCGUG
RNAcentral lists this ribosomal RNA (433 nucleotides) under uncultured bacterium. RNAcentral's name for it is "partial 16S ribosomal RNA". It matches the Rfam family "Bacterial small subunit ribosomal RNA", at positions 29 to 507 of the family's 1533-position model. The record is from RNAcentral.